RNAcentral lists this ribosomal RNA (158 nucleotides) under Premna serrata. RNAcentral describes it as "5.8S ribosomal RNA". It matches the Rfam family "5.8S ribosomal RNA". Rfam says of the family: 5.8S ribosomal RNA (5.8S rRNA) is a component of the large subunit of the eukaryotic ribosome. Lineage: Eukaryota; Viridiplantae; Streptophyta; Magnoliopsida; Lamiales; Lamiaceae. The record is from RNAcentral.
ACGACUCGCGGCAACGGAUAUCUCGGCUCUCGCAUCGAUGAAGAACGCAGCAANNCUGCGAUACUGGUGUGAAUGCAGAUCCACGUGAACCAUCGAGUCUUUGACGCAAGUUGCGCCCGAGGCCAUUAGGCCGAGGGCACGUCUGCCUGGGCGUCACG